ACUGGCCGGUUACUAAAAAUAACAAUUUAAAACCUAAAGAACUUGGCGGUGUCUUAUCAUACCAGGGGAACCUGUUCCUUAAUUCGAUAAUCCACGAAACCACUACCACUAAUUGAAUAAUACAGCUUGUAUACUGCCGUCAUCAGCAUACCUUAAAAAGAUAUAGUAUGCAAUAAUAAAUUAAAAUUAAUUAUGUCAGGUCAUAGUACAGCCUAUCUAGUGGAGGAAAUGGGUUACAAUCAUUUAUAUAGAUACCAAAAAUAAAACUAAAGUUUUAUCAAAAGGUGGACUUGGCAGUAAUGAUAAUAUAGAAUAUUAUCAUGAAAAAAGAUCUAAGACAUGCACACAUCGCCCGUCACUCCCCUCUAAAGAGG
RNAcentral lists this ribosomal RNA (374 nucleotides) under Ophidonais serpentina. RNAcentral's name for it is "partial 12S ribosomal RNA". Lineage: Eukaryota; Metazoa; Annelida; Clitellata; Tubificida; Naididae. The record is from RNAcentral.